GGUGGAUUAGGGCUGAAAUAGGAGUGUGCGAUAUUGACACAAAAUAAUAUCUCGAUAUUUUCUGGGAUUUUAUCAAUAACGAUAAUUAGACGAUAUUUUGCUGAGUGUUUAU
This is a long non-coding RNA of Sinocyclocheilus rhinocerous, 112 nucleotides long. RefSeq lists it as uncharacterized. The transcript is spliced from 3 exons. The record is from RefSeq and is a predicted model, not a curated record. NCBI's taxonomy places the organism in Eukaryota, Metazoa, Chordata, Actinopteri, Cypriniformes, Cyprinidae.